Episyrphus balteatus (marmalade hoverfly) is the source of this 1312-nucleotide long non-coding RNA. RefSeq lists it as uncharacterized. NCBI's taxonomy places the organism in Eukaryota, Metazoa, Arthropoda, Insecta, Diptera, Syrphidae. The record is from RefSeq and is a predicted model, not a curated record. The transcript has 2 exons.
UUAUUUUUGAAUUUUUAUUUAAUUUAUUUAUAAGGUUCCAACGAUUUUGAAAUUUUUUUUUUCUAAAAAUAUAUCUUAGUAGAAGAAAUCAAAUCGAAUAGGUACUUGUUUUGGAGCUAUCACGAAUUUUGAUUUGUUACUUUAACUUUUUGGGCUAGUGUAUAAAAACAACUCAGGUUAAAAGCUAACGCUCGGUUAAAUUUUAUGGUUAUGAAAGUCAACUAUUAAAUCUAGCUAAGCGUUAGCCUUGUACCUGAGUAUUAAAUUGUUUAAUGGUAGGGUGAAAUAUGUAUAAUUCAGUUAACUAUUAAAGUCAGCCUUAAAUUUAAAUUUUGGUUAGGGCUGUAGAAAAUAAAAUUUACUAAUGAUAAGUUUUUGUGAAUAAAAAUUCUUAUUCAGAAUUCUUUGGCGCAAUAGUAGGUAAAUGUAUAAGAGUGGUCGAAUUUUCGGUAUUCGGCCGAAUCAUUAUUUGCAGUAUCUCUAGUUGGUACCGUUAAAAAAUUUCAAUUUCCCCUCCUUGGAAUCAAAAAUAAACAAAAGGUUUGAGCCAAAUCGACUUAUUGGUUUGAGCUCUUACCUGAUUUACAAUAUAACGUUGAGUUUUCCCGAGAGAUGACAAACUUUUGUUCUAUAACAGAGAGGGAUACUAUUCCCUGAAUGUUCUAAUUGUAAUGUGCAUUAUGUAAAAUUAAUAGAGAGUAGAUUAAAAUUUCUAUAUUUCUUUAGAUUUGCGAUUAUAAAAUGUGGAUUCGCGGUUUAAAGCUAGUUUCCAAGGGGCAAAUCACGAUUCCCAUAUAUGGAAUAUCAGUCUACAAAGAUCUCAUUUUAAACAAAGAUACGAAAACGGUGUCAGAGACGAAUAUGUAUUAGCAAUAGGAGAUGCAGGUUAUCCAUUAGAACCUUGGUUGAUGACUCCAUUUAGGACUCCGCCACCAAAUAGUCCUCAAAUGCGUUACAACAAAUCCCACUCUAGAGCCCGAAAUGUAGUCGAAAGAACAAUUGGUUUACUCAAAAACCGAUUCCGAUGUUUGUUAGCAGCUCGACAACUGCAUUACACUCCAGAAAAAGCAGUCCAAAUUUUCAACGUAUGUUGUGCAUUGCAUAACAUAUGCCUCUAUUUUAAAAAUGACAUGAACUUUGAUGAAAGGAGCGAUCAAGAGAACAUCCAAGAAGAAAAUGAUGACUACUAUACUCAGCGAUCACAAUACAACACUCAAGCUGUUAACGCUAGAAAUGAAAUACUCAACGAUUAUUUUUCAUAAACUUUUAUUUAAAAAAAAAAAAAACAUUUCAAAAUACUUAAAAAUUCACA